RNAcentral lists this ribosomal RNA (468 nucleotides) under uncultured bacterium. Its description in RNAcentral is "partial 16S ribosomal RNA". It matches the Rfam family "Bacterial small subunit ribosomal RNA", at positions 28 to 507 of the family's 1533-position model. The record is from RNAcentral.
GACGAACGCUGGCGGCGUGCUUAACACAUGCAAGUCGAACGGAAAGGCCCUGCUUUUGUGGGGUGCUCGAGUGGCGAACGGGUGAGUAACACGUGAGUAACCUGCCCUUGACUUUGGGAUAACUUCAGGAAACUGGGGCUAAUACCGGAUAGGAGCUCCUGCUGCAUGGUGGGGGUUGGAAAGUUUCGGCGGUUGGGGAUGGACUCCCGGCUUAUCAGCUUGUUGGUGGGGUAGUGGCUUACCAAGGCUUUGACGGGUAGCCGGCCUGAGAGGGUGACCGGCCACAUUGGGACUGAGAUACGGCCCAGACUCCUACGGGAGGCAGCAGUGGGGAAUAUUGCACAAUGGGCGGAAGCCUGAUGCAGCAACGCCGCGUGCGGGAUGACGGCCUUCGGGUUGUAAACCGCUUUCGCCUGUGACGAAGCGUGAGUGACGGUAAUGGGUAAAGAAGCACCGGCUAACUACGUG